Molecule: ribosomal RNA, 209 nt
Filed under: uncultured Enterobacterales bacterium
Lineage: Bacteria; Pseudomonadati; Pseudomonadota; Gammaproteobacteria; Enterobacterales
Description: partial 16S ribosomal RNA
Rfam family: Bacterial small subunit ribosomal RNA
Source: RNAcentral
GAAACUGCCUGAUGGAGGGGGAUAACUACUGGAAACGGUAGCUAAUACCGCAUAACGUCGCAAGACCAAAGAGGGGACCUUCGGGCCUCUUGCCAUCAGAUGUGCCCAGAUGGGAUUAGCUAGUAGGUGGGGUAACGGCUCACCUAGGCGACGAUCCCUAGCUGGUCUGAGAGGAUGACCAGCCACACUGGAACUGAGACACGGUCCAG